UUGAACGCUGGCGGCAUGCUUUACACAUGCAAGUCGAACGAAGGCUUCGGCCUUAGUGGCGCACGGGUGAGUAACACGUGGGAAUAUACCUCUCAGUGGGGGAUAACGUCGGGAAACUGACGCUAAUACCGCAUACGCCCUUCGGGGGAAAGAUUUAUCGCUGAGAGAUUAGCCCGCGUCCGAUUAGCUAGUUGGUAAGGUAAUGGCUUACCAAGGCUACGAUCGGUAGCUGGUCUGAGAGGAUGAUCAGCCACACUGGGACUGAGACACGGCCCAGACUCCUACGGGAGGCAGCAGUGGGGAAUAUUGGACAAUGGGCGAAAGCCUGAUCCAGCCAUGCCGCGUGAGUGAUGAAGGCCUUAGGGUUGUAAAGCUCUUUCGACGGGGACGAUGAUGACGGUACCCGUAGAAGAAGCCCCGGCUAACUUCGU
This 431-nucleotide ribosomal RNA is filed under the name uncultured bacterium. RNAcentral describes it as "bacterial SSU rRNA". It matches the Rfam family "Bacterial small subunit ribosomal RNA", at positions 30 to 506 of the family's 1533-position model. The record is from RNAcentral.